This is a long non-coding RNA of Poecilia latipinna (sailfin molly), 101 nucleotides long. RefSeq lists it as uncharacterized. The record is from RefSeq and is a predicted model, not a curated record. The transcript is spliced from 3 exons. NCBI's taxonomy places the organism in Eukaryota, Metazoa, Chordata, Actinopteri, Cyprinodontiformes, Poeciliidae.
CGUAAGAUGAGAGGCUUCCUCUGGAGGCGUCGCCGAUGUCGCAGCGCUGAGGAGACACAGACGGUCAGAGUCCAAUAACUAAAGCAUGUGACAUUUAACAA